RNAcentral lists this ribosomal RNA (492 nucleotides) under uncultured bacterium. Its description in RNAcentral is "partial 16S ribosomal RNA". It matches the Rfam family "Bacterial small subunit ribosomal RNA", at positions 29 to 507 of the family's 1533-position model. The record is from RNAcentral.
AGUGAACGCUGGCGGUAGGCCUAACACAUGCAAGUCGAACGGCAGCACAGUAAGAGCUUGCUCUUACGGGUGGCGAGUGGCGGACGGGUGAGGAAUACAUCGGAAUCUACUUUUUCGUGGGGGAUAACGUAGGGAAACUUACGCUAAUACCGCAUACGACCUACGGGUGAAAGCAGGGGAUCUUCGGACCUUGCGCGAUUGAAUGAGCCGAUGUCGGAUUAGCUAGUUGGCGGGGUAAAGGCCCACCAAGGCGACGAUCCGUAGCUGGUCUGAGAGGAUGACCCGCCCCACGGGAACUGGGACCCGCCCCAUCCCCCUACGGGGGCCAGCGGGGGGGAUUUUUGCCCAAGGGCCCCAGUCCGUCUCCACCCAUCCGGCGGGGUAGAAGAGGCCCUUUGGUUUGUAAGGCCUUUUUGUGGGGAAAAAAAACCCGCAGUUCAAUCCCCCGUUUUCCGGACGUUCCCCAAAAAAAAAGCCCCGCCUACCUUGGCG